AUUGAACGCUGGCGGCAGGCUUAACACAUGCAAGUCGAGCGGGGUGAUGGUGCUUGCACUAUCACUUAGCGGCGGAUGGGUGAGUAAUGCUUAGGAAUCUGCCUAUUAGUGGGGGACAACAUCUCGAAAGGGAUGCUAAUACCGCAUACGUCCUACGGGAGAAAGCAGGGGAUCACUUGUGACCUUGCGCUAAUAGAUGAGCCUAAGUCGGAUUAGCUAGUUGGUGGGGUAAAGGCCUACCAAGGCGACGAUAUGUAGCGGGUCUGAGAGGAUGAUCCGCCACACUGGGACUGAGACACGGCCCAGACUCCUACGGGAGGCAUCAGUGGGGAAUAUUGGACAAUGGGGGCAACCCUGAUCCAGCAAUGCCGCGUGUGUGAAGAAGGCCUGUGGGUCGUAAAGCACUUUCAGUGGGGAGGAGGGUUGAUAGGUUAAGAGCUAAUUGACUGGACGUUACCCACAGAAGAAGCACCGGCUAACUCCGUGCCAGCCGCCGCCGUAA
Molecule: ribosomal RNA, 502 nt
Filed under: uncultured bacterium
Lineage: Bacteria
Description: partial 16S ribosomal RNA
Rfam family: Bacterial small subunit ribosomal RNA
Source: RNAcentral